UACGUAGGGUGCGAGCGUUGUCCGGAAUUAUUGGGCGUAAAGAGCGUGUAGGCGGCCAGGUAGGUCCGCUGUGAAAACUCGAGGCUUAACCUCGAGAUGUCGGUGGAAACCAUCUGGCUAGAGUCCGGAAGAGGAGAGUGGAAUUCCUGGUGUAGCGGUGAAAUGCGCAGAUAUCAGGAAGAACACCCGUGGCGAAGGCGGCUCUCUGGGACGGUACUGACGCUGAGACGCGAAAGCGUGGGGAGCGAACAGG
This 253-nucleotide ribosomal RNA is filed under the name uncultured bacterium. RNAcentral's name for it is "partial 16S ribosomal RNA". It matches the Rfam family "Bacterial small subunit ribosomal RNA", at positions 524 to 776 of the family's 1533-position model. The record is from RNAcentral.